Molecule: ribosomal RNA, 522 nt
Filed under: uncultured bacterium
Lineage: Bacteria
Description: bacterial SSU rRNA
Rfam family: Bacterial small subunit ribosomal RNA
Source: RNAcentral
AGCUUGGUUGGGAGGGAGGACAGCCACACGGGGACGAGACACGGGCCCAGAAUUCUACGGGGAGGGCAGCAGUGGGGGAAUUUAAAACAAGGGGGGAAACCUGGAUUAGCCCUGGCCGCGUGAUUCGAUGAAAGGCCUUUAGGGUUUGUAAAGAUUCUUUUCAGUGGGGGAAAGAAUAAUGACGGUACCCCACAGAAGAAGCCCCCGGCUAACUCCCGUGCCAGCAGCCGCGGUAAUACGGAGGGGGCUAGCGUUAUUCGGAAUUACUGGGCGUAAAGCGCACGUAGGCGGAUUGGAAAGUUGGAGGUGAAAUCCCAGGGCUCAACCUUGGAACUGCCUUCAAAACUUCCAGUCUUGAUGUCGAGAGAGGUGAGUGGAAUUCCGAGUGGUAGAGGUGAAAUUCGUAGAUAUUCGGAGGAACACCAGAAGGCGAACGCGGCUCACUGGCUCGAUACUGACGCUGAGUGCGAAAGCGGUGGGGGAGCAAACAGGAUUAGAUACCCCUGGUAGUCCACGCCGUAA